RNAcentral lists this ribosomal RNA (972 nucleotides) under Triticum aestivum (bread wheat). RNAcentral's name for it is "partial small subunit ribosomal RNA". Lineage: Eukaryota; Viridiplantae; Streptophyta; Magnoliopsida; Poales; Poaceae. The record is from RNAcentral.
AUGUUUCCAGUGACGGGUUCACCGAAAUGCGUUGCUUUCCGGUCAAAGCAUACCGGCAAGUACCUAGGUAGCGUGCAAGCAGGGAGCGAGGAGAGCGCCGGCGGAGGCAAGUUCUUCGAGGAGCUGAGCCACGGUGCCGACGACGUCGAUGUCCUUGCAAGCCCGUACACUAGAUUCUACCUGGAGCCAUCCAAGGAGCACGACGGGCUCCUGCACGUCAGGUGCUGCCACAACAACAAGUACUGGGUGGCCAAACAUGUCGGUGAAGGCAGCGGCCACUGGAUCAUUGGCAUCGUCAAUGAACCGGAGGACGACCUGUCCAAGCCGUCAUGCACGCUUUUUGAGCCCAUCCCUCUCGCGGACACGGACAAUAAUCUAUCCAUCAGGUUCUUCCGUCCUCAGCAGACAACAAGCUCUGAAUCUGAUAUGACCAAGGAAAAGGGGACAACUGAAGAAGCCUACCUGUUUCUGGGAACCGAAGGGCAUGAAAAAGCAGUUGAUCAAGUGAAAUCUCUUCAUGACUUCUCCGCCAUUGAUCUAUCGAAGCAAUUGGUACUGCCCAAAUAUGUUGCUUUUAAAGGCGACAAUGACAUGUACCUCCGGGCGAGGAUUAUCCAGAAACGCAAUUACCUGGAAUUCUCAUCAUCUGAUAUUGCAGAUUCAACUGUGGUCAACACUAUUUUCCCCAACUACGCUAAUGGGAAUGUGCGCAUAAAAUCUAACCACUUCAACAGGUUUUGGAGGCUCAGCCCCAACUGGAUCUGGGCUGACUCCACUGACAACAGCAGCAGAGACCGUGACACACUCUUCAGGGUGGUCAUGUUGCCCGACUACAUCGGUCUCCAGAACCUGGGAAACUCCAGGUACUGCAAGAGGCUAACUGCCGACAAGAAGACAAGCUGCCUUAACGCCGCCGUCGAUACCAUCACCCUUGAAGCAAGGUUACGGGUGGAAGAAGCCGUACUUUCGUGA